RNAcentral lists this ribosomal RNA (114 nucleotides) under Salvator merianae (Argentine black and white tegu). Lineage: Eukaryota; Metazoa; Chordata; Lepidosauria; Squamata; Teiidae. The record is from RNAcentral.
UUCAGCAUUUAGGCUGCCUCUCACCAAUCCUGUCAAAUCUUGGAAGCUAAGUAGGACUGGCCCUGGUUAAUACGUGAAUGGGAGACCACCUGAGAACGCCAGCUACUGUAGGCU